CAUCCUCCAUAAGGGCCACACAAGUGUGUGCAUGGACCGAGGAAAAGACACCAUGGGAGCCGGUAAAGUAUUUCCUUGGUGGUUGGGAGCAAGGGUAUCGUGCAGCAGUUUUUGGUGUUACUGACGACCAGCUCUGACGAGAGUCUUCGGUUUCUUAGCUUCAGGCUGGACUUCAACGAGCAUUACAAAGCCAGGGAGCCCAGGCUCCGCGUGUCUCUGGGUACCAGGGGGCGGCGCAGCUCCCACACGUGAAGCUCGCGGUCCUCCCAGGGAGCUGCGGGUGAUGUUCGUUGCACUGCUAGACACGAAAUUCCCAUUGACGUCCUGCAGGAACUGCAUGCUGCAGGUGUCCUGCCCUUCCGCCCACGAGUGCGCCAUGUUUCAGCGGAGCGGCGUGUGGGAGAAGCCACGUCGUGUUGCACACGUCGGAGUUGAAUGCAUUUGUAAAUCACUAAGUCAAGUAGGCUGGCUGCACUGUUCACAUUUGUCUCUAAAAGUCUUCAUCCCCAAAAGAUACCAUAAUUUGCUGAGGCUUCUGAAUCUUAAGUGCUCUAAGUUAUAACUUAUAUUUGUCACUUUAAAAGAACUGUUUGUUUAGCAAAAUCUACAGCAAGGGUAUAUUUAUAAAGUGAUAAUGUCAUUGCUGUUAUUUAGCAUCCUCUUCAGAAACUUUUUUUUGCAAUAUUAUUAGAUUAAACUGAAAUACAUAGAAAAUA
Molecule: long non-coding RNA, 716 nt
Organism: Homo sapiens (human)
Lineage: Eukaryota; Metazoa; Chordata; Mammalia; Primates; Hominidae
Product: long independently transcribed non-coding RNA 431
Exons: 2
Source: RefSeq, marked validated